This 577-nucleotide ribosomal RNA is filed under the name Phaffomyces sp. BG090802.1.7.2.2.20. RNAcentral's name for it is "eukaryotic LSU rRNA". It matches the Rfam family "Eukaryotic large subunit ribosomal RNA", at positions 79 to 647 of the family's 3401-position model. Lineage: Eukaryota; Fungi; Ascomycota; Saccharomycetes; Phaffomycetales; Phaffomycetaceae. The record is from RNAcentral.
CCUAGUAACGGCGAGUGAACCGGGAAGAGCUCAAAUUUGAAAUCUGGCAGUCUUCGAUUGUCCGAGUUGUAAUCUAUAGAAGCGUUUUCCGUGCUGAACUGUGUAUAAGUCCCUUGGAACAGGGUAUCAAAGAGGGUGACAAUCCCGUACUUUACACAAUCAUCAGUGCUCUGUGAUACGUUCUCUACGAGUCGAGUUGUUUGGGAAUGCAGCUCAAAAUGGGUGGUAAAUUCCAUCUAAAGCUAAAUAUUGGCGAGAGACCGAUAGCGAACAAGUACCGUGAGGGAAAGAUGAAAAGCACUUUGGAAAGAGAGUUAAACAGUACGUGAAAUUGUUGAAAGGGAAACGAAAUUCAUGAAUCAUGUUUAUUGGACUCAGCCGUUCUUCGGUGUACUUCCUUUAAACGGGUCAACAUCAGUUUUGUCCGAUGGAUAAAGGUAGUAGGAAGGUGGCUCUCUCGGGAGUGUUAUAGCCUAUUGCUGCAUACAUUGGAUGAGACUGAGGACUGCAGCUUGCCUUUAUGGCCGGGGUUCGCCCACGUUCAAGCUUAGGAUGUUGACAUAUUCUCGAAUCACGA